UAGUUGUUUACUAUAUGGGAAGUGAUACU
This 29-nucleotide non-coding RNA is filed under the name Mus musculus (house mouse). The record is from RNAcentral. Lineage: Eukaryota; Metazoa; Chordata; Mammalia; Rodentia; Muridae.